AAAUCUAAAAAAAAUAUACACAUUUUUGUGUAAAAUAAUUUAUGAAAUAUAUGUAUCAAGUUUUUUAAAUUCGUUAUAUAUAAUGUGAACAAGUUGGGUCUUAACAUGCCUUAAAAGUCCUUUAAAUAUUUUAGAUUCAUUUAAAAAAUUAACAUCAAAGCAAAAUUAUAAUUACAUUAAAUAUUAAAGAUCCAGAAAUAUUGAAUGUAUACUAAAUAAAAGUGCGAUCCUUAAGUCGAUUCUAUUUUAAUAUACUUACAUACAUUUAUCACAAUACCUUGAAGUGUAUAAGUAUAUGUGAUUGGAUGCAUGCAUAUACAUAUAUAUUUCUACGGCGGAUAUAUAAAUACAUUUGUACAUACAUAUGUCUAUUUAAUGCACGUAAUAAUAUGCAAAAUUGUCUAUUUCAAUAGAGGACCAAAUAAUUUAGUAUUCAUAUUCAGCUACGAAUAAUUGACGUUAAAUAAAAAUAAACAUAUAUAUUUAUUCAAUGCGUCGUAUGUAUGAAUAAAAGUAGAAAAUAGUUUUUGCCAUGCUACUCGUGAAUACUAUUGCAUAUGAACAUAUAUUUUAUCAUCAGCCUUUAAGGGUAUAUGUGAUCUAUGGUGUGAAAGGCUUCUAACUGGUGAGGAAGUAAUUGCCCAAUAUUUAAAAAAAUUAAGGUACCGACUCGAAGUAAGUUUGUUAAUUCUGAGUGAUGCAUUACUGUUGCCACUUGCCUAUUUUCAUCUCUUUCGACAAAUACUCGUCUAUGAACGAAAACACAAUGCUCUCUUAUUGCACAAGGUAAAUGAAAAACUUGGGUACAACGAUUUUUAAAACAGCGUACUGUGGCACCAAUUUGUUGACAUCCGCUACACGAUUGAUUAAGGCCCAUCUGUAAAGCUGCUGGAAAGUUCAUAAGGCCACCACUUAUAGUCUCAUACACUUCGCUGGACCAUAGAGCGCAAUUUAAAUGUACCUAGAAUGAUAGUGAAUUAUUAUAAAUAAUAUUACAUAUUAAUGUACUUAUUUUAAGAAAUGUAAUCCAUAAAAGUGACAAUUGUAAUUUUGGUAA
This is a long non-coding RNA of Zeugodacus cucurbitae (melon fly), 1057 nucleotides long. RefSeq lists it as uncharacterized. The transcript is spliced from 3 exons. NCBI's taxonomy places the organism in Eukaryota, Metazoa, Arthropoda, Insecta, Diptera, Tephritidae. The record is from RefSeq and is a predicted model, not a curated record.